AUAUAUAUUUUCUUGAUUUACUUAGCAAGCAUACAAUAUUUAAAAGAUGAGAAGUAUGAUCAGAUAUUUAGAAUGAAUAUCAUAUUUUACUCUCUAGUCACCUUUUAUCGAAUAAGAUAAAUACCUUCACAGAUAAAGUAUUCUAUCCGACUAAAUCAUAGAUGCAAGAAGAUUUAUCAAAAAGCAAAUUUAUACAAAAAAUUCUCAUGUUGAAGAAGUUAAUUAUCCUAACAUCCAAAUAGAGCCUAAAUUGUUCCUGCUUCA
This 264-nucleotide long non-coding RNA is filed under the name Ananas comosus (pineapple). RNAcentral's name for it is "long non-coding RNA (ACOM_LNC012194)". The record is from RNAcentral. Lineage: Eukaryota; Viridiplantae; Streptophyta; Magnoliopsida; Poales; Bromeliaceae.